This 269-nucleotide unclassified non-coding RNA is filed under the name Frankliniella occidentalis (western flower thrips). RNAcentral's name for it is "partial contains large subunit ribosomal RNA (rrnL); may also contain tRNA-Leu (trnL)". The stretch from base 1 to 149 matches the Rfam family "Bacterial large subunit ribosomal RNA", at positions 2496 to 2645 of the family's 2925-position model. The record is from RNAcentral. Lineage: Eukaryota; Metazoa; Arthropoda; Insecta; Thysanoptera; Thripidae.
GAGAUCAAAUCAAGAAGAUUAAAUGCUACCUCGAUGUUGAAUUAAGAAAACAUCUAAUAGAAGAAAAUUAGAUUAUAGGUCUGUUCGACCUUUAAAUUCUUACAUGAUUUGAGUUAAGACCGGUGUGAGCCAGGUUGGUUUCUAUCUUCAUAAUAGAGGUUUUUAUAGUACGAAAGGACCUAAAAACUUAAUUUUAUUAAUUAAUUAGCUUAUAAAAAGCAAGUAUUUUGAAAAUACUAGAAAGAUUUAAGAAUUUAUUAAUUUUAUGU